This is a long non-coding RNA of Zophobas morio, 404 nucleotides long. RefSeq lists it as uncharacterized. Lineage: Eukaryota; Metazoa; Arthropoda; Insecta; Coleoptera; Tenebrionidae. The transcript has 3 exons. The record is from RefSeq and is a predicted model, not a curated record.
GAUAGAGUUGGGGUUAAUAAGAAAAAGUUGCAAAGGGACCUGGAACACGUAUUUUCUCUCUUUGACGAAGAUAGUGACGGGCUACUCACUUUACGAGAGUGGGAGGCUGUUAGCCAAGACUUGGAUAUACAAAUAAGGGAAGAGUUUCAAAAAGAUGAUACAAUGGAAGAACAAAAAAUAUCUCUGACACAAUUUCUCGAAGAAAUAAACGGGAAACUCCAAGGGCUUUCCGCCGAAGGUGAAGCACAAGAGGCUUUUGAAUUAAUUGAUAAAAACAAAGAUGGUCUAAUAAGUAUGGAAGAACUUCGAGCAGUAUUAAAUACUUUGGGAAAAGAUAUUGAGGAUGAUGAACUUUAUGAAAUGUUAAGAGAGUCCAACAAAAGCGGCACUGGAUUUCUCAAUAA